AUAUGUUAUCUGGAGAAGACGGGACUACCUCUUCACCAAGGUUCAAAUCAAAACGACGGUCGGAAGGUCCAGACAUUUUCAAAGUGUUGAAUGAAGAAGAGGUCGGACGAAUCAAGAUCUUAGAAGUGCAAGAAGGGAGUUUUCACAAGUAAAAUUCAAGUGUGCUUUGAAACGAACAUCGUGCCUCUAUAAAAAAUCAACACUCGACGGGAUUUCAGAGAUCGAAGGGGCAAGCUCAGAAUUCGAAGACGCCAAUUCAAAAAUCGAAGAGGCAAGCACAGAAAUCGGAGAAGCAUCUUGCUUUUCCAGACGUGUCGGCACCCUUCACACGCAAACUCAGCUUUGCGGAAAUCACGGGUAAUUUGUCGAAGCGCCAAUCCCAGAUAUCGAAGAGGCGCCAGUCUUUUUCAGCCGAGUCAUCACCUGUCAUAUGCACACUCAACUUUGCGCAAAUCACGGGCAAUUUGUCGAAGAUUUUCGGUGAAGGAGAAAGCACGUGAAAUUUUACUGUUCAAUCACGCGUUAGUUGCCGACACGAGUGAAAGAAUAGUACCUCUACAGGUAUUAAAGAACUUCCUAUAAACUGUCCACCUUCACCUUACAUAGUAAGGUAGACAUACAUAACAUUUCUUCAUCUCCAAAAAUGCUUUCCCAACGAAACCUCUCGAGUCAUUCAGUGUUCCUUAUUCCUUGGGGUACCUCAGCAAACAAAUGACUCCAAAGCAAAAGUAUCUCAUAUCACCAGGGUAGAAAGCAAGAGUAUCUCAUAUCAUGCGUUCUCCCU
RNAcentral lists this long non-coding RNA (784 nucleotides) under Malus domestica (apple). RNAcentral's name for it is "long non-coding RNA (MDOM_LNC006652)". Lineage: Eukaryota; Viridiplantae; Streptophyta; Magnoliopsida; Rosales; Rosaceae. The record is from RNAcentral.